Molecule: ribosomal RNA, 1201 nt
Filed under: metagenome
Description: bacterial SSU rRNA
Rfam family: Bacterial small subunit ribosomal RNA
Source: RNAcentral
UGGGAUUGAGAUGCGGCCCAGACUCCUUCGGGAGGCAGCAGUCGAGAAUCUUCCACAAUGGACGAAAGUCUGAUGGAGCGACGCCGCGUGAGGGAUUAAGGCUUUCUGAGUCGUAAACCUCUGUCAGGAGAGAAGAACAGCAUCCCUAUGAAUAGUAUGGAUGUUUGACGUUAUCUCCAGAGAAAGCUCCGGCUAACUCCGUGCCAGCAGCCGCGGUAAUACGGGGGGAGCAAGCGUUGUCCGGAAUCAUUGGGCGUAAAGGGCGUGUAGGUGGUUUUGUAAGUCGAAUGUGAAAUCUCACGGCUCAACCGUGAAAUUGCGUUCGAAACUACAAGACUUGAGUUAGGGAGAGGUGUACGGAAUUCCUGGUGUAGCGGUGGAAUGCGUAGAUAUCAGGAAGAACACCAAUGGCGAAGGCAGUACACUGGCCUGUAACUGACACUGAGGCGCGAAAGCGUGGGGAGCAAACAGGAUUAGAUACCCUGGUAGUCCACGCUGUAAACGAUGGAUACUAGGUUUUGGGGGUCUCAACCCCUUCAGAGCCGUAGCUAACGCGUUAAGUAUCCCGCCUGGGGAGUACGAUCGCAAGGUUGAAACUCAAAGGAAUUGACGGGUUCCCGCACAAGCGGUGGAGCAUGUGCUUUAAUUCGAGGCAACGCGAAGAACCUUACCUGGGCUUGACAUGGGAGCUCUCCCUUCGGGGGGGGUUAGCUAUGUGAAAGCAUGGUUAGUCCACACAGGUGUUGCAUGGCUGUCGUCAGCUCGUGUCGUGAGAUGUUCGGUUAAGUCCGGCAACGAGCGCAACCCUCGCUGUCAGUUACCAACGGGUAAUGCCGGGGACUCUGACAGGACUGCCGGUGAUAAACCGGAGGAAGGCGGGGAUGACGUCAAGUCAUUAUGACCCUUACGCCCAGGGCUAGACACGUGCUACAAUGGUCGGUACAAUGAGCAGCGAGACCGCGAGGUGGAGCAAAUCUCAAAAAGCCGGCCCUAGUACGGAUUGCAGUCUGCAACUCGACUGCAUGAAGCUGGAAUCGCUAGUAAUCGCGUAUCAGCAUGACGCGGUGAAUACGUUCCCGGGAAUUGUACACACCGCCCGUCAAACCAUGGGAAUCGGUAGCACUCGAAGUCGCUGACCCAACUUUAUUGGGGGAGGCGCCGAAAGUGAGAUUGGUGACUGGGGUUAAGUCGUAACAAGGUA